UACGGAGGGUGCAAGAAUUAAUCGGAUUUAUUGGGCGUAAAGGGCGCGUGGGCGGAGAUGUAAGUCAGAUGUGAAAUUCCAGAGCUCAACUCUGGAGCUGCAUUUGAAACUACAUCCCUAGAGGGUAGACGGCGAAAGUAGAAUUCCAUGUGUAGCGGUGAAAUGCGUAGAUAUAUGGAAGAAUAUCGGUGGCGAAGGCGCCUUUCGAGUUUAUACCUGACGCUGAGGCGUGACAGCACGGGGAGCAAACAGG
RNAcentral lists this ribosomal RNA (253 nucleotides) under uncultured bacterium. RNAcentral describes it as "partial 16S ribosomal RNA". It matches the Rfam family "Bacterial small subunit ribosomal RNA", at positions 524 to 776 of the family's 1533-position model. The record is from RNAcentral.